UACGGGGGGGGGCAAGCGUUGUUCGGAAUUACUGGGCGUAAAGGGCUCGUAGGCGGCCAACUAAGUCAGACGUGAAAUCCCUCGGCUUAACCGGGGGAACUGCGUCUGAUACUGGAUGGCUUGAGGUUGGGAGAGGGAUGCGGAAUUCCAGGUGUAGCGGUGAAAUGCGUAGAUAUCUGGAGGAACACCGGUGGCGAAGGCGGCAUCCUGGACCAAUUCUGACGCUGAGGAGCGAAAGCCAGGGGAGCAAACGGGG
This 256-nucleotide ribosomal RNA is filed under the name uncultured bacterium. RNAcentral describes it as "partial 16S ribosomal RNA". It matches the Rfam family "Bacterial small subunit ribosomal RNA", at positions 524 to 777 of the family's 1533-position model. The record is from RNAcentral.